Molecule: ribosomal RNA, 247 nt
Filed under: uncultured bacterium
Lineage: Bacteria
Description: partial 16S ribosomal RNA
Rfam family: Bacterial small subunit ribosomal RNA
Source: RNAcentral
GGAGUUGCGAACGGGUGAGUAACGCGUAGGUAACCUGCUUGGUAGCGGGGGAUAACUAUUGGAAACGAUAGCUAAUACCGCAUAACAGUGCUUACUGCAUGGUAAGUGCUUGAAAGGUGCAAGUGCACCACUACCAGAUGGACCUGCGUUGUAUUAGCUAGUAGGUAAGGUAACGGCUUACCUAGGCGACGAUACAUAGCCGACCUGAGAGGGUGAUCGGCCACACUGGGACUGAGACACGGCCCAG